UUGAAGUCAGGCCACUUGUGCCACGGCUUGAGCAAACCGUGCUGCCUGUAGCUCCGCCCAAAACGGGAGGCGUAAAAAUUCCCAGGGAGGCCAUGCGCCACGGAAGCUGUACGCGUGGCAUAUUGGACUAGCGGUUAGAGGAGACCCCUCCCAUCACCAACAAAACGCAGCAAAAGGGGGCCCGAAGCCAGGAGGAAGCUGUACUCCUGGUGGAAGGACUAGAGGUUAGAGGAGACCCCCCCAACACAAAAACAGCAUAUUGACGCUGGGAAAGACCA
Molecule: long non-coding RNA, 278 nt
Filed under: dengue virus type 4
Lineage: Riboviria; Orthornavirae; Kitrinoviricota; Flasuviricetes; Amarillovirales; Flaviviridae
Description: Dengue virus type 4 partial sfRNA2
Rfam family: Flavivirus DB element (bases 176-248)
Source: RNAcentral